RNAcentral lists this unclassified non-coding RNA (330 nucleotides) under uncultured fungus. RNAcentral describes it as "sequence contains ITS1". The record is from RNAcentral. Lineage: Eukaryota; Fungi.
GUUUCUCAUUGUUUCUCAAUUAAGAGAGAUUUAUUAAGUCACAUAAAAAUAUAACAAGUGGUAUUUCAUCUAGGCUGACGAGCCGCGGACAGAUCACUCAAUUAAGAGCUUUCAGCCAUCAGAGCCUCUCCUAGCAGAGGUGAAAAGAAAGGACCAGUAAAGGCCCCAACUUCAGUGAUGAAACGAACCGGCGACCGCCAAUAGACAUUUCAGUGGUUCACAAGGGUGUUAAUUUGAUCCUGCGCCAUUGUGUCAGCAAAAAAAUUGCCUGCACUACGGCGCAGUCACAAAAGAUUGUUAAUGAUCCAACCGCAGGUUCACCUACGGUUA